AUUCCAGCUCCAAUAGCGUAUAUUAAAGUUGUUGCGGUUAAAAAGCUCGUAGUUGGAGUUCUGCCAGGUGCCGCCUGUCCGCCCCAGUGGUGAGUACGUGGCGCGCAUUUGGCCCUUUCAAGGGGAGCGUAUUGCACUUAACUGUGUGGUGCGGGAUCCUUGACUUUUACUUUGAGGAAAUAAGAGUGUUCCAAGCAGGCUCUCGUCGUGCAUAGCUCAGCAUGGAAUAAUAGCAUUGGAUCUCGAUUCCAAACUGUUGGUUGUAGGAAACGAGAUAAUGAUGAAGAGGGAUAGUUGGGGGCAUUCGUAUUUAACUGUCAGAGGUGAAAUUCUUGGAUUUGUUAAAGACGAACUACUGCGAAAGCAUCUGCCAUGGAUGUUUUCAUUG
Molecule: ribosomal RNA, 388 nt
Filed under: Syndiniales sp.
Lineage: Eukaryota; Dinophyceae; Syndiniales
Description: partial small subunit ribosomal RNA
Rfam family: Eukaryotic small subunit ribosomal RNA
Source: RNAcentral